This is a non-coding RNA of Pelobates cultripes (western spadefoot toad), 318 nucleotides long. Lineage: Eukaryota; Metazoa; Chordata; Amphibia; Anura; Pelobatidae. The record is from the annotation of a GenBank genome assembly.
CUGUCCCUUUAAGUGGGUAACCUGCAACUCUAGGGGGGUGCCCUGCAAAUCCAGGGGGGUACCUUGUCACUUUAAGGGGGUGCCCUGUCACUCCUCCCCGGGCCCGGUUGAGGUGGGAGCCUGGGCCCGAGGCAUCACUAGGCCCGCGUGUCUGGGGGCUCCAGACACGCGGUCUGCAACUUUUCCUCAGGAUCCGCGGCCUUCAUGUGCCGCGUGGGAAGCACGGCCUACCUGGCCUGCAUCCACGGCCAGGGGCAGUGGAAGGCGGGCCGUACGUUCCUGGCGGGUGGUGCCGUUCGUGACCAGGGGGUCCUCAAG